This is a long non-coding RNA of Chlorocebus sabaeus (green monkey), 3744 nucleotides long. RefSeq lists it as uncharacterized. The record is from RefSeq and is a predicted model, not a curated record. NCBI's taxonomy places the organism in Eukaryota, Metazoa, Chordata, Mammalia, Primates, Cercopithecidae.
AGGAGAGGAACCGCCCCGCGGAGGCGCAGCGGACGCCCAGCCUCUUCACCUGUUGCCCGACUCCCAGCUGCCGAGAAGGCGCCGCGUCGCACCCAGGGUGGCUGGGUUGGCAGCCCGGCGGGCGGCGCGGAGGAGAGGGCGCAGGGGUCCUCCUGGCCGUCUUCCGCUCCCCUCCCGGCUUUUGCCUCUGUCAGGCCCCGCCUGGCCCGGGCCUGCAGCCGCCAGUGACCUGUUUCCUUCCACCUGGGCGGGUCGGGGGCUGCGGGCAUUGGGGCCCCUUAAGGAAACCCAGGCCUCCAGGAACCCCGCCGCUCCAGGACUCGGCGCGGAGGGAGUGACUGAGCGACGACCGAGGCAGGGGUGAUGUGGUGCCGCGAAUGUUCGGGAAACGGCAGGAAUGAUGACCCGGCCGGACCUUAGACCCGAAAUCGAUGAGAGGCCGCCAGCACUGCCCGGGAGACGGCCCGCGCUUCUCCCCCUCCUGCUGCGGCCGCCGCCAGAGCCCGGUGUUAUUUCCUGCCCCUCCUGUCGGGAACAAUUUGAGGAACCAACUUAAUCGCUUGGCUUUGAGGGCGCGACGCUUCCAGGCGCUCUCCUCGGCUCUGUCCCGCGGACCCGUGGAGCCUGGGUGACGGCGCCUGGGCUGGAGGAGGGGAGAUGUUUGGGGUCCCUGGCCAAGAUGAAUCAGCGUGACCGUCCCGUCACCCUUGAGGAAAAAAAAAAAAAAGUUUCAAGAAGGCUUGAAAGGUGUGAUUUGUGUAAAGUUAACUUUAGGACAAAUGAGCGGUGCUUUCCUGGCAUGGAAAGGGGAUGGGGGUCCUCCUUUACUGAGGCAGUUUGUAACAGGGUCAGGAAGAACUGAGCUCGGGUGCUUGCGUUUAUCGGCUGUAUGACCCAGAGCGAGUGGCUCUACUUUUCGGGCCUCAGUAAUGCAGUCUCUAAAAUGCAGGCUUUGACAGAUGGGCCUCUGAACAAAAAGAUUAUCUUCCUGUUGGUCCCUCCUUCUAUUUUGUGAAACGGUAGCAAGAAACAUUUUAUCUGGAAGCCACCAAGAGAAAAGGAAAUAAGGAAAGGAAGAAAAGGCUAUAAAUCGAGGGUAACUUUGAUUCACAGUGAAGGCAUUUCUGCUGAUUUGUUCCAAGACAGGUUAAAAAAGAGAUCACAAGGGACAUUUUCUUCACAGUGUCUUAUCGAAUGUGCUGAGAAGAAAGCAAAAAUGACAAUCUAAUAAAACAAGGAAUUAAUGUCUUUUAAGUCUAGGACCUAGCCAGGAAGACCUCCGGGAGUAAAAGUUGAGGCUUUAAAAGCAUGGCAAAGAUGGAAGAUGCGGAGAAAUUCCAUCCGUGUGUAUUUGGGAAAGAAAUCAGGAGCUUGGCUGAGAAGUAAGAGUGUUCUUCCAACUCCAGUCCCCAAAGCCACCAGUGAGCCUAGUCCAUCUUCAGUUUGAAAAUAGGAAGAGAUGGAACCUAAAUCCAUUCACUAAUGAACUUUUGGAUCUCUGGUGGAUUUGAGUUCCAAGAGGCUCUGUCAAUUUGACCAGAGGUUUUCAGCCCAAAUGACAACACGGUGAGGCAUAUAAGGUACAUGAGGACACCUGGAAAACAACAUUCAUUGCAGCAUCCUGUGUGAUAGAGGAGUUGCAGGCAACCUAAGGUGUCCCUCAUUGGGAGGGUAGGAAAGUACACUGUUGAAGAGAGGCAGACACUUGGACCAGAUGGAAGCAAUGAACUCAAGGACAUCAAGGGCUCUGGAUAUUGUGAAAGUUUCCCUUUAAGUUACGACUGGAAUCCAGAACAACGCCGUAUGGACCACUCUGUGGGUAGCGCGGAAAGCUCUCAGCACAUCUUAACAGGAGGCACAUGAUGUCCAUUGGUACCAUCUGUGAAGAUAUUAAUCUUCGUUACUGGAUUAAGCAUCUGCCAGAUUUCUCUACGACUGACAGCUCCUUGAAGGCAAGAACCUUGUCAUAUCUUCAUCUCCUAGGGCCUUACAUGGGGCUAGUACAGGAGAAGCACUGCCUAAAAGUUUGAAUUCAUACUGACCUUCUCUGAACAUUGGCAUUCCAUCUUUUGCAAAGAGGAAUAAUGAAUUUUGCUGAAUUGCCUCUAAGGAUCAACUGUGAUGAGAUUUUAUAAGUGAAAGCACUUUAUAACCUACAAAGUGCCAGAGGACUCUGAGGCAUUAUCGUUUGUUUGGAGCUAAGAACGACUCCAACACCAAUGAGUACUGCUGGGUCUCCUCUCACACUCAGCAGGUGGCCACCCAGACUCUCAUCUGAAAUCAACUUGUUCACUCCUUCGUCCUAAGGGUAGUUCCUGUGGCUGUCUUUUUUGUCUUAGUAGCUUCAGGGAUGAGCACAGAACACAGCCGGGAUACUCAAUACAUGUUUUGAAAGAACACCCACAUGAAUGAACGAAUCUAGCCCCUUUCCCUCUUCUUAGUGUCCAAAUCUCCCAAAAGAAAUUUAAGAACUAGCACUGGACCUGACACAGUAUUGUGUAGGCAUUCAAGAUGAAUGCUAUGUAGAGAAUUACAGCAAGUAAAGAGAUUGAAUUUGUAAUCAAAUAACUACUCACAAAGAAAGCCCCAGACUCAGAUGGCUUCACUCGGUGAAUUAUAUCAAACAUUUGAAAAAGAAUGAAUACCAUUAUUUUCACAAACUCUUUCAAAAAGUAGAAGAGGAGGGAACAUUUCCCAACUCAUUCCAUGAUGCCAGUAUUAUCCCUGAUACCUGAGACAACUCAAUAAAAGAAAACUCCAGAUCAAUAUCCCUUAUAAAUGUAGUCAAAAACCUUUAACAAAAUACCAGUGAAAUAGAAGAAUUAUACCCCCUGGCCAAUGGGAUUUAUCCCAGGAAUACAAGGUUGGCAAUAUAUGAAAAUAAAUCAUGUAAUAUACCACAUGAAUAGAAAAAAGGACAAAAGCCACAUGGUCAUCUCAGUAGACACAGGAAAAGCAUUUGACAGAAUUGAACAUACAUUCAUGACAAAAACACUCAACUAACCAGGACUAGAAGGGAACUUCUUAAACCUGAUAAAGGGCAUCUACAAAAAGAAAGCUCGUAGGUAAUAUCAUACAUAAUGGUGGAAGACAAAUGCUUUUUUCCUAAAAUCAGGAACAAGAUAAGAAUGUCUGUGCUCACCACUUCUACUCAACAUUCAACUAACUGACAAAUUAAUUAGGAAAGAAAAUAAAAUAAAAGGUAUCUAGAUUUGAAAAGAAGAAAUAAACUAUAUGUUAUCUAUUCGCAGACAUAGGUCUUGUAUAUAUGAAAUUAUGAAGUAUCCACUAAAAAUUACUAGAACUAAUAAACAAGUUCAGCAAGUAGAUAAAAUCUAUAUACAAAAAUCAAUUGUAUUUCUAUAUGCUGGAAGUAAACAAUCAGAAAAUGAAAUUAAUCUAAAAAUUCCAUUUCCAUUUAUAAUAGUAUCAAAAAGAGUAACCUACUUGGGAGUAAGUUUAACAUAAGAAGUAUAAGACUAGUACACUCAAAUUACAAAACACUGCUGAAAGAAAUCAAUGAAGACCUACACAGAUGAAAAGAUAUCCCAUGUCCAUGGAUUGAAAGACUUAACAUUGUUCAGAUGGGAGUACGCCCUGGAGUGAUCUAUAGUUUCAAUGCGGUCCUUAUCAAAAUCUCACCUGGAUGUUUUUGUAGAAAUUGACAAACUGAUCUUGAAAAUCAUAUGGAUUUGUUAAUUAGCUCAAUUUAGCCAUUUUGUAAUGUAUACAUAUUUCAAAACA